This is a long non-coding RNA of Dicentrarchus labrax (European seabass), 1873 nucleotides long. RefSeq lists it as uncharacterized. The transcript is spliced from 2 exons. The record is from RefSeq and is a predicted model, not a curated record. NCBI's taxonomy places the organism in Eukaryota, Metazoa, Chordata, Actinopteri, Moronidae.
UCUAACCUAAAGGUCUAAAACACAGCUAAAAUAAACAUGAUUUUACAUUGCACAUAUAAAAAUAGUUUACAUGAAGAAGGUGUCUUUUCUACUUGAUUACAGUAAUGCUUAUUAAAUAUGACCAUGCUUAUUAAUGCAUUUCAUUUGAUAAUAGAUACCUUCCCAGAAUCUUAUGUAGUCCUGGGUCUAUUGACACAGUGACCAUCUUGUGACGAUACUGGUGUUGAAAUGUAUCCAAAUUACUUGUUUAUAUUUGUCACUUCCUUUGAUGCUGAUUUAUUAAUCAACAAUUAUUACAUUUAGCAUUUAAAAUCAGGUCCCACCGAGAUUUGAACUCGGAUCGCUGGAUUCAGAGUCCAGAGUGCUAACCAUUACACCAUGGAACCGCCUUGACCCUGUUGAUUCUACAUCAAAACGCUACAAUGGCGUCAAGGUUUCAACAGGUUACGCUGAAAGUGUUUGAGGGACAUAGAUAUGAGUAAACACAUUAUUAUUUAGGAUUAAACUUUAACCGACUAAUUUCUAGGUUAGGGAUCUCAUUUUCCUUAUUUUAAGAGUAAGACCACUCGCACAACUUCUCAGUUUAAGAGAAAGUAGUCUGGUCCCGGAGUUGGAAAUGAAGCAGAGUUUUAGUUUUCCAGUUUUAAUUUUUAAAAAAUGGUAAAAAAUAACAUAGUCAUUAAAGAUAGUAACUUAUUUUUAUUAUGCUGUUUAAAGAAAUUGUGUCUUUUGGAAGAUUAUUUUGCCAAUUAUUAAUCUUAGAUUAAGGUACACAUUCAGCUCAAUAAAGUGACCAAAAUACUUUAAAUGACUGAGUUUUCACUGCUUGUAAUAAGAACAACUUGUUUUUAUUUUUCGACAUUCUUUCUAGUUUUACGGCCCAUUACAGUCUUUCAGUGGUAAGAUUAUUUUGCUACUUUUAAGAAUUCUAGCAAAGCUAAACUGGCUUACCCCAUUGGCAGAUUGUUUUGCUCAAUACAAGAAAAUGUGAUUAUAUUUAAGAAUAUCUGGCUUGUUUCUAGAGGGGUUGUGUUUGCAGUGAUCUUAUUUAUUCUGAGGAGCCUGUCUAACCUAAAGGUCUAAAGCACAGCUAAAAUAAACAUGAUUUUACAUUGCACAUAUAAAAAUAGUUUACAUGAAGAAGUUAUCUUUUCUACUUAAUAACAGUAAUACUUAUUAAAUAUAAGCAUGCUUGUUAAUGCAUUUCAUUUGAUAAGAGAUACCUUCCCAGUAUCUGUAUGUAAUUGAGGGUCUAUUGACACAAUGGCCAUUUACAUAUUGAAACGUAUCCAAGUUAGUUUGUCAUUUGUUAUUAUUUGUCAUUUCCUCAUUUCCUUUGAUGCUGAUUUUUUAAUCAACAAUUAUGAUGUUUAGCAUUUAAAAUCAGGUCCCACCGAGAUUUGAACUCGGAUCGCUGGAUUCAGAGUCCAGAGUGCUAACCAUUACACCAUGGAACCGCCUUGACCCUGUUGAUUCUACAUCAAAACGCUACAAUGGCGUCAAGGUUUCAACAGGUUACGCUGAAAGUGUUUGAGGGACAUAGAUAUGAGUAAACACAUUAUUAUUUAGGAUUAAACUUUAACCGACUAAUUUCUAGGUUAGGGAUCUCAUUUUCCUUAUUUUAAGAGUAAGACCACUCGCACAACUUCUCAGUUUAAGAGAAAGUAGUCUGGUCCCGGAGUUGGAAAUGAAGCAGAGUUUUAGUUUUCCAGUUUUAAUUUUUAAAAAAUGGUAAAAAAUAACAUAGUCAUUAAAGAUAGUAACUUAUUUUUAUUAUGCUGUUUAAAGAAAUUGUGUCUUUUGGAAGAUUAUUUUGCCAAUUAUUAAUCUUAGAUUAAGGUACACAUUCAGCUCAAUAAAGUGACCAAAAUAC